GACGAACGCUGGCGGCGUGCUUAACACAUGCAAGUCGAACGGAAAGGCCCUGCUUGCAGGGUACUCGAGUGGCGAACGGGUGAGUAACACGUUGGUGAUCUGCCCUGCACUUCGGGAUAAGCCUGGGAAACUGGGUCUAAUACCGGAUAGGAGCCAUUUUUAGUGUGAUGGUUGGAAAGUUUUUUCGGUGUAGGAUGAGCUCGCGGCCUAUCAGCUUGUUGGUGGGGUAAUGGCCUACCAAGGCGGCGACGGGUAGCCGGCCUGAGAGGGUGGACGGCCACAUUGGGACUGAGAUACGGCCCAGACUCCUACGGGAGGCAGCAGUGGGGAAUAUUGCACAAUGGGCGCAAGCCUGAUGCAGCGACGCCGCGUGGGGGAUGACGGCCUUCGGGUUGUAAACUCCUUUCGCUAGGGACGAAGCUUUUGUGACGGUACCUAGAUAAGAAGCACCGGCUAACUACGUG
This 464-nucleotide ribosomal RNA is filed under the name uncultured bacterium. RNAcentral's name for it is "partial 16S ribosomal RNA". It matches the Rfam family "Bacterial small subunit ribosomal RNA", at positions 28 to 507 of the family's 1533-position model. The record is from RNAcentral.